UCUAUGGGCCAUAUCACCCUGAAUGUACCCCUAUUGCAUCUGGUCUUGGAAGCUAAUCAGGUUGGGCCUGGUUAGUACUUGGGUGGGAGAUGUAUCAUUUAGUUCUUACUCUCUAAAGCUUCUUGUUUUCAGAA
Molecule: ribosomal RNA, 134 nt
Filed under: Jaculus jaculus (lesser Egyptian jerboa)
Lineage: Eukaryota; Metazoa; Chordata; Mammalia; Rodentia; Dipodidae
Source: RNAcentral